RNAcentral lists this ribosomal RNA (484 nucleotides) under uncultured bacterium. RNAcentral's name for it is "partial 16S ribosomal RNA". It matches the Rfam family "Bacterial small subunit ribosomal RNA", at positions 28 to 507 of the family's 1533-position model. The record is from RNAcentral.
AUUGAACGCUGGCGGCAUGCUUUACACAUGCAAGUCGAACGGCAGCGCGGGCUUCGGCCUGGCGGCGCGUGGCGAACGGGUGAGUAAUGCAUCGGAACGUGCCCAGUAGUGGGGGAUAGCCCGGCGAAAGCCGGAUUAAUACCGCAUACGACCUGAGGGUGAAAGCGGGGGACCGAAAGGCCUCGCGCUAUUGUAGCGGCCGAUGUCGGGUUAGCGAGUUGGUGGGGUAAAGGCUUACCUAGGCGACGAUCGGUAGCUGGUCUGAGAGGACGACCAGCCACACUGGGACUGAGACACGGCCCAGACUCCUACGGGAGGCAGCAGUGGGGAAUGUUGGACAAUGGGGGCAACCCUGAUCCAGCCAUGCCGCGUGCGGGAAGAAGGCCUUCGGGUUGUAAACCGCUUUUGUUCGGGAAGAAAUGCUCUGGGCUAAUACCCCGGGGGGAUGACGGUACCGGAAGAAUAAGCACCGGCUAACUACGUG